RNAcentral lists this ribosomal RNA (492 nucleotides) under uncultured bacterium. Its description in RNAcentral is "partial 16S ribosomal RNA". It matches the Rfam family "Bacterial small subunit ribosomal RNA", at positions 29 to 507 of the family's 1533-position model. The record is from RNAcentral.
AGUGAACGCUGGCGGUAGGCCUAACACAUGCAAGUCGAACGGCAGCACAGUAAGAGCUUGCUCUUACGGGUGGCGAGUGGCGGACGGGUGAGGAAUACAUCGGAAUCUACUUUUUCGUGGGGGAUAACGUAGGGAAGCUUACGCUAAUACCGCAUACGACCUACGGGUGAAAGCAGGGGAUCUUCGGACCUUGCGCGAUUGAAUGAGCCGAUGUCGGAUUAGCUAGUUGGCGGGGUAAAGGCCCACCAAGGCGACGAUCCGUAGCUGGUCUGAGAGGAUGAUCAGCCACACUGGAACUGGGACACGGUCCAGACUCCUACGGGAGGCAGCAGUGGGGAAUAUUGGACAAUGGGCGCAAGCCUGAUCCAGCCAUACCGCGUGGGUGAAGAAGGCCUUCGGGUUGUAAAGCCCUUUUGUUGGGAAAGAAAAGCAGCAGGUUAAUACCCCGCUGUUCUGACGGUACCCAAAGAAUAAGCACCGGCUAACUUCGUG